UCAUAAUAUAAUGUCCAUUUAAAAGGUCUUUUUUAUUCACGUAUUUUAAUCACUUUUCGUCUUUCUCUUAUUGUUUUAAACAAUAUUGUAUAGCGCUUUACUGACGCUUUUUGUUGACAUUACGUUGAGAAGGUACAAUAGGGCGGAAAUUCAUGUCACAGUAUAGGGGUAAAGUUACAAUACAAGUCAGCAGGAAGUUCGCGUUAAUCAAGCUCAGCUUAAUAACUUUUUGUUUAAUACAGUUAUAUAGGCAUAUAUAUAUAUAUAGUUAACAGAUGAAAUUUUUGCAGAAGAAAUUCGCAAACAAAAGACUUAACUGCUAAACAUAAUAAUAUUCUACAUAUAAUAUACAUAGUUUGACACGCUACUAUAUAAAAGAAAUCGAUUUUUAAAUUUACUUUUCUUUAUUACAUGUGACAAUUCAAUUAAAUCAGAUAUAAUAAACCAAUUUCGUGUGUAUAUUUUUCAAGGACUUUUUAGUGACAAUUUAAGAAUUUUAUUUUGUUUUGAAAAAUAUUGAGGCCAAUUAGAGAGAAUAACUUGUAUUUUUUUUUCCUGUCAAGAGCUUGUUUGGAUUUUUAACAACUCUUAAAUAUCCUCAAUGUAUUCACAAGGAUUUUGUAUUAUAGAAGAUAUACAUUUACUAAUAAAAUUGGUCAAAGAUUUUUCGACAUAUUAGUCUCGAUGUUUCUAAUAUAUAUAUAUAUUAUAGUUUAUAUUACAGUUUAGUUUAGAGAUUGAAAAUUUUUGUCAGAAAUAUAUUGUGUCAGAUAAAAAUUUCUUAAAAUUACAUAAAUCUGCUAUAUAGUUAUAUAAACAGUGGCGUAGGAACCAGUGAGACAAGGGGGGCAGUUGUCCCAUUUAGUUUUUAAGGCUAGGUGCAACUCGUCAAAUGUAAACAAACAUGAAAAUGUACGUAAUUAUUGACAAAUUUGCAACAGUCCUUUUUUUAAAUAGAAAAUAAAAAUUGUUCUUUUUCUAUGUAAAAAUGGAAAAUUCAUAUAUAUGUAUAUAUAAAACUACAGCCUGACGCUGUAUUUGACUAAUAAUAUGAAUAAUAUUAAUAAUUAUAAUAAAAUGAAAAUUAUACUGAAACAACAAUUUUCUCUAGGUUACGAAAAAAAAACCAUUUGAGUAUAUCUGAGGCACGGACGUUGAGAACCUAGGUGGGAGAAAUAGUGUGGGAAGGGGUAAAAGACCUAGUCUCUGUCCUCUGGUGCGGGUAUAAUUUCAGAAUUUUACCCUUUCCAAGAUGUGACCGUCCAAUCGCUUAACUCUUUCUCCCACCUAGGUUCACAACGUCCGUGCCUCAGAUAUACUCAAAUAGUUUUUUUUUCGUAACCUUAAGAAAAUUGUUUUUUCAGUGUAAUUUUCAUUUUAUUAUAAUUAUUAAUAUUAUUCAUAUUAUUAGUCAAAUACAGCGUCAGGCUGUAGUUUUAUAUAUAUAAAUUUUCCAUUUUUACAUAGAAAAAGAACAAUUUUUAUUUUCUAUUUAAAAUAAGGCUGUCGAAAAUUUGUCAAUAAUUACGUACAUUUUCAUGUUUGUUUACAUUUGACGAGUUGCACCUGGCCUUAAGGAGAUUGGAGGGUAAACAUAACCUCAAAAACCUGUCAAAACUAAAAAAUUGUUUUUAACGCAAACAAAAAUAUAAUAAAUAUUAAUUUCCAACAAUUUUAGACGAUCUAGAUUUACUCCUUUUGAAAAAAAUUAUUUUUUUUCCAAAAUAUUUUCUCAAUAAUUAUUUUUCUAACAUUUGCAAAACCUCAAUUUUUUCGGAGCACCGACAAAAAGUUAUAAGUAAAUAAAAAUCUUCAGAAUAUUUAAAUAAAAUUUUUUUUAAUAUCAUAUAUCAUCCAAAAAUAAUAAAUUUUUGCAAUAAUUCUUUCGUUCCUCUGUGCAAAAUAAAGUGAUUUAUGUUUUUCGUGAGUUCCAACAUCUAAUUUUUAAUAGUUUUUUAAUAAUAGCGUUUUUAAAAAAAUUGAAAAAUUUAAGGUUACAAAAUCACAUUGUGAACCUCCUAUGCUUUUGAUAUUUAAUAUUUUUAAAGGGAUGAAUAAAAUUUUUACCAUAAUAUUAUGGUUAAUGAACUCAGGGAAUCAUCGAGUUUCACAUAUAUUAAAACUAGAUUUUUUUAAAAUUUGGUCGCAACCACUAUUAGACGAAAGUCAGUGGACUUGACCCUAUUGUAAUAAAUAUGUUAUUAAAAAGUUAUAAACAAUAAAAAUUUUAUUUAUUUAAUAACUUUUUAACAACAUACUUAUUACAAUAUAAAAAAAGGUAACAAUUAUAGAGAAUGUUUCACUGAGUAAAAUGAGCUUUUGUUUAUAAAAAUUGGUUAAAAAUUGCAAUUUUUGUCUGAUUUGAAAGAAAAAAAAACUAAAUGUUAAAAAAAUAAUUAUUACCCUAAUAACACAAGAUAUCUUGGGAUAUAUUGAUAAUAUCCCGUAGAUAUCCUAGGGAUGUCCUAUGGAUAUCAAAAGGAUUUCUUAAGGAUAUCCAAAAAAUCGGCGGUUUGGAUAUCCUUUGGAUAUCUGAGGAUAUCCACAUGAUAUCUUCUGGAUAUCUCUAUAGACUUUCAUAAAUGUCCUCCAGAUAUCCCAUAGAUAUCGUCAGGAUAUCCCACAGAUAUCAUCAGGAUAUCCCAUACAUAUUGUCAGGAUAUCCCACAGAUAUUUUCAGGAUAUUCUCAGUAUAUCUUCUGGAUGUCAAGAAGAUAUUCUCAGGAUACUGUUUUUAAAGUCAUUAUGAGACUACGAGUGAGAAUAUUCUGUGAAUUAAAUUUUAUAUAAAUAAAAUAAAAUGCAACUUUUUUUUCGAGAAAGUUAUUUAAUUUGAAAAAUUAUUAACUAAUUUUUUUCUCAUUCGUGAUUCAUUCCUUUAUUCAUAUGCUUAAUAUUGUCAGAAAAUAAAUUGGCUUAAACAAUAUAAAUUCUUCCCAGCAAAUAACGAAUAACUAUUAAUAUUAAUUAUACAUUAAGUGUAUGAGUUUAUUUAAAAACUUUGAAAAAUGCGUUUCAAAUCUUCAUUUAAAAUAAAUUAGAAGCUCAUAAGAUUUUUGUUUUUAUUAUAUUAUUAUUCAUUAUAUUAGCUUAACAAUUUUAACCUUUAAAAAUUUUUAGUUCGAGAUAUUAAACAUCCUAAGAAUAUCCCACGGACAUCCUGAGGUUAUCCUGAGGUUAUCCCAUGGAUAUCCUGCGAUAUAAUAUCCAAUAGAUAUUUUGUGGAUGUCUUAGGGAUAUCCUAUUGAUGUCCUGUUGAUGUCCCACAGACCGUCGGUUUGGAUAUCCUAGGGAUAUCCUAUGGAUAUCCUAGAGAUAUCCUAUGGAUAUGCCAAUAUAUCCUGGGAACCAUUCUAGGAUAUCGAACAUUGAUAUGGAUAUCCUAGGGAUAUCCUUUUGUUAUGAGGGUAACAAAAUAUUUUGGAAAAAUAUCUUUUUUUUCGAAAGGAGUAAAUCUAGAUCUCCUAAAAUUGUUUGAAAUUAAUAUUUAUUAUAUUUUUGUUUGCGUUAAAAACAAUUUUUUAGUUUUCACAGAUUUUUGAGGUUAUGUUUACCCUCCACCCUAUCCUUAAGGAAAUACACAAGUGUAUAUCAAUAGUUUUGUCUCACCAGAAAAAAAUUAGUUCCUACGCCUCUGUAUAUAAAUGACAUAUGAUAUUUAUAGUCAAUUUGUCCUAAUAGUUUACAAUUACAAUUCGGAUUUCUCAAAAUAUUGAGGGGAAUUACAGUCAGAUUACUUUCGAGUGUGUGUUUAUAAUUAUUAUUAUUCAAAUUUAUGGCGAUAUAGGUUUUUUUUUUUUUGUCGUUCAGGAAGAAAUGUUUUCUUCAUUAUUACUGACAUGAGAAAAUUAUUUACAAAAUGAAUUUUGCGAAGGAACAAAAAGUAAUUACAACGACGUGUUUUUGGAAACAGUAUAAUAAAUGCAAAUAGAAAUGCAUUAUUUAGAUAUGAAUGAAGACAAGAAGAUAUAUAAUAAUACAGUUUUUCAUAAGGAAAUAUUGCAAUCAUCCGAAUGAGCGUCUCUUAUUUGUUGCUUCGUUUUUCUGGAAGCUCGUCUGAUGAGACUUCUACUUCGAGGUUUACUUUUAACCUCUUCAACGACAGUUACAACGCUUGAACCUUGUGCUGCCAGAACUUGUUGAGGACUUCCUGAAGUAGUGCUUCCGGUUUUACUAGGACUACCUGACCUUGAAAUUCAAGAAGAAACUUAUCGUUAGACUUUGAUGAACUUGCAAAAAAAAAAAAAAAAAUUCUGCUGCCGUCGUAUUGACAAAAAAUUAACGAUUACUGAAAAAAAAUACCUUCGCGAACCAUAUGCUGAACAUCUUCUUCUAAGUCCAGACUCGUCAGUUUCACCAGUUGGAUUUUUUGGAACUAUUCUAGAGAGAGUUACGAAACAUCUAAAGAUGUCUUUAAUGUUAUAGUCGUCUUUAGC
Leptopilina boulardi is the source of this 4436-nucleotide long non-coding RNA. RefSeq lists it as uncharacterized. NCBI's taxonomy places the organism in Eukaryota, Metazoa, Arthropoda, Insecta, Hymenoptera, Figitidae. The transcript has 3 exons. The record is from RefSeq and is a predicted model, not a curated record.